GAGUUUGAUCCUGGCUCAGGAUUAACGCUGGCGGCAUGCCUAAUACAUGCAAGUCGAACGGAGUAGCAAUACUUAGUGGCGAACGGGUGAGUAACACGUAUCUAAUCUACCAUUUAGUGGGGAAUAACUGUUGGAAACGACAGCUAAUACCGCAUAAUAUUGCUGGAUAAUUUCCAGUAAUGAAAGGAGCUUUCAAGCUCCGCUGAUUGAUGAGGAUGCGGCGCAUUAGCUAGUUGGUAGGGUAAUGGCCUACCAAGGCAAUGAUGCGUAGCCGAUCUGAGAGGAUGAACGGCCACAUUGGGACUGAGACACGGCCCAAACUUCUACGGAAGGCAGCAGUAGGGAAUUUUUCACAAUGGGCGAAAGCCUGAUGGAGCAAUGCCGCGUGACUGAUGAAGGUCUUCGGAUUGUAAAGGUCUGUUGUAAGGGAAGAAAUGGUAAAACAGGAAAUGGUUUUAUCUAUGACGGUACCUUACCAGAAAGCCACGGCUAACUAUGUGCCAGCAGCCGCGGUAAUACAUAGGUGGCAAGCGUUAUCCGGAUUUAUUGUGCGUAAAGGGUGCGUAGACGGUUUUGCAAGUCUGAGGUUAAAUUUAGG
Molecule: ribosomal RNA, 598 nt
Filed under: uncultured Spiroplasma sp.
Lineage: Bacteria; Bacillati; Mycoplasmatota; Mollicutes; Entomoplasmatales; Spiroplasmataceae
Description: bacterial SSU rRNA
Rfam family: Bacterial small subunit ribosomal RNA
Source: RNAcentral